AGUGAACGCUGGCGGCGUGGAUUAGGCAUGCAAGUCGAACGAUCCCGCAAGGGAUAGUGGCAAAAGGGCGAGUAACACGUGAGCAAUCUGCCCUUGAGUGGGGAAUAACCCUGGGAAACCGGGGCUAAAACCGCAUAAGACCACGGCCUGGCAUCAGGCUGUGAUCAAAAGGGGGGACCGCAAGGCCUCCUGCUCGAGGAUGAGCUCGCGUCCUAUCAGCUAGUUGGCGGGGUAAUGGCCCACCAAGGCUUUUGACGGGUAGCUGGACUGAGAGGUUGGUCAGCCGCAUUGGGACUGAGACACUGCCCAGACUCCUACGGGAGGCAG
This 327-nucleotide ribosomal RNA is filed under the name uncultured Omnitrophica bacterium. RNAcentral's name for it is "bacterial SSU rRNA". It matches the Rfam family "Bacterial small subunit ribosomal RNA", at positions 29 to 351 of the family's 1533-position model. Lineage: Bacteria; Pseudomonadati; Candidatus Omnitrophota. The record is from RNAcentral.